CAAGUCGCGUGCGCAGUUGCCGUAGCAAUACGGUGAUGGGCGCACGGCGCACGGGUGCGUAACACGUGGGCAAUCUGCCCUUUGAUGGGGAAUAACCCGCCGAAAGGCGGGCUAAUUCCGCAUAAGAUUCCCGGAACUUCGGUUCUGGGAUUGAAAGCAGCAAUGCGUCGAAGGAGGAGCCCGCGCCCGAUUAGCUAGUUGGUGAGGUAAUGGCUCACCAAGGCUUUGAUCGGUAGCUGGUCUGAGAGGAUGAUCAGCCACACUGGAACUGAGACACGGUCCAGACUCCUACGGGAGGCAGCAGUGGGGAAUCUUGCACAAUGGGCGAAAGCCUGAUGCAGCGACGCCGCGUGGGGGAUGAAGCAUUUCGGUGUGUAAACCCCUUUCGACUGGGAAGAAUACCUCGCAAGAGGGGUGACGGUACCAGUAGAAGAAGCCCCGGCUAACUACGUGCCAGCAGCCGCGGUAAGACGUAGGGGGCCAGCGUUGUUCGGAAUUACUGGGUGUAAAGGGUUCGUAGGCGGUGCGGCAAGUUGGGAGUGAAAUCUCUGGGCUUAACCCAGAGGCUGCUUCCAAAACUGCUGUGCUCGAGUGUGGGAGAGGCGCGUGGAAUUGCAGGUGUAGCGGUGAAAUGCGUAGAUAUCUGCAGGAACACCCGUGGCGAAAGCGGCGCGCUGGACCACUACUGACGCUGAGGAACGAAAGCUAGGGGAGCAAACAGGAUUAGAUACCCUGGUAGUCCUAGCCCUAAACGAUCAGGACUUGGGGUGCCGCCCGUUCGGGCGUCGUCCCGGAGCUAACGCGUUAAGUCCUGCACCUGGGGAGUACGGUCGCAAGACUGAAACUCAAAGGAAUUGACGGGGGCCC
This 867-nucleotide ribosomal RNA is filed under the name uncultured Acidobacteriota bacterium. RNAcentral's name for it is "bacterial SSU rRNA". It matches the Rfam family "Bacterial small subunit ribosomal RNA", at positions 58 to 922 of the family's 1533-position model. Lineage: Bacteria; Pseudomonadati; Acidobacteriota. The record is from RNAcentral.